This 253-nucleotide ribosomal RNA is filed under the name uncultured bacterium. RNAcentral describes it as "partial 16S ribosomal RNA". It matches the Rfam family "Bacterial small subunit ribosomal RNA", at positions 524 to 776 of the family's 1533-position model. The record is from RNAcentral.
UACGUAGGGUGCAAGCGUUAAUCGGAAUUACUGGGCGUAAAGCGUGCGCAGGCGGUUAUGUAAGACAGGUGUGAAAUCCCAGGGCUUAACCUUGGAACUGCAUUUGUGACUGCAUAGCUAGAGUACGGUAGAGGGGGAUGGAAUUCCGCGUGUAGCAGUGAAAUGCGUAGAUAUGCGGAGGAACACCGAUGGCGAAGGCAAUCCCCUGGACCUGUACUGAUGCUCAUGCACGAAAGCGUGGGGAGCAAACAGG